CUGGCGGCGGAGGUGUGAGGGGGGGGCUCGGGAUUUUGGGGCAAAAAAAUGGAAAUUUGGGAAUUUUCUGAGGGGAAAAAGGGAUCCCCAAGCUCUAAAUUCAAGCUUUUUGGGGAAAUUUGAGGGAGAAAGUGAGUUGGGGUUUUUUUUUUUGAGGAAAAAGAAGGGAUUUUGGGAUUUUUUUCUGAGGGGAUAAAGGGGGUCCCCAAGCUCUAAAUGCAAAACUUCUGGGAAAUUUUGAGGGAGAAAGAUGGUCCCAAUGCAUUAAUAAAUUUUUUUGAGGAAAAAAAGGGAAUUUGGGAAUUUUUUUGAGGGGAAAAAAGUGUCCCCAGGCUCUAAAUCUCAAUGGUUUAAGGAAAUUUGAGGGAAAAAGGGGGUCCCAGUGCAUUAAUUGGGGAUUUUUUGGGUGAAAAAAGGUGAAUUUGGGAUUUUUUCUGAGGGGAAAAAGGGGUCCCCAAGCUCUAAAUCCAAACUUUUGGAGGAAAAUUUGAGGGAAAAAGGAGUCCCAGAACCUUGUUGAGGUGAAAAAUGAGGGAAAAAAAGGGAUUUCUGGAGCCUUUUUGAGGAAAAAUUUGAGGGAAAAAUGUGAAUUUCAAAUCCUGAAUUCCCUUUUUGGGGGAAAAUUGAGGGGGAAAAGGGGUCACAGAAAGAAUUGUGGUGGAUUUUAGACGCUUUUUGUAAAUUUUGAUCAUUUUAAUGCCAUUUUUGACUCAUUUAAAACACUUCAAUGUCACUUUUGGUCACUUUACUGUAACUUUUGAUCACUUUAAUGCCAUUUUUGACCCUUUUAAGGCACUUCAAUGUCACUUUUGGUCACUUUGAUGCCAUUUUUUGUCACUUUAAUGCCAUUUUUUGUCACUUUAAUGCCAUUUUUUUGACACUUUUGGUCACUUUAAUGCCAUUUUUGCUCAC
Molecule: long non-coding RNA, 912 nt
Filed under: Junco hyemalis (dark-eyed junco)
Lineage: Eukaryota; Metazoa; Chordata; Aves; Passeriformes; Passerellidae
Description: lncRNA (ENSJHYG00000011223.1)
Source: RNAcentral